ACGGGAGGCGCAGUGGGGAAUAUUGCACAAUGGGCGAAAGCCUGAUGCAGCGACGCCGCGUGAACGAAGAAGUAUUUCGGUAUGUAAAGUUCUAUCAGCAGGGAAGAAGAAUGACGGUACCUGACUAAGAAGCACCGGCUAAAUACGUGCCAGCAGCCGCGGUAAUACAUAUGGUGCAAGCGUUAUCCGGAUUUACUGGGUGUAAAGGGAGCGCAGGCGGUAUGGCAAGUCUGAUGUGAAAGCCCGGGGCUCAACCCCGGUACUGCAUUGGAAACUACCAGACUAGAGUGUCGGAGAGGUAAGUGGAAUUCCUAGUGUAGCGGUGAAAUGCGUAGAUAUUAGGAGGAACACCAGUGGCGAAGGCGGCUUACUGGACGAUAACUGACGCUGAGGCUCGAAAGCGUGGGGAGCAAACAGGAUUAGAUACCCUGGUA
Molecule: ribosomal RNA, 434 nt
Filed under: uncultured Roseburia sp.
Lineage: Bacteria; Bacillati; Bacillota; Clostridia; Lachnospirales; Lachnospiraceae
Description: partial 16S ribosomal RNA
Rfam family: Bacterial small subunit ribosomal RNA
Source: RNAcentral